AUUGAACGCUGGCGGCAUGCUUUACACAUGCAAGUCGAACGGUAACAGGCCUUCGGGUGCUGACGAGUGGCGAACGGGUGAGUAAUGCAUCGGAACGUACCCAGAGGUGGGGGAUAACGCAGCGAAAGCUGUGCUAAUACCGCAUGUGAUCUGAGGAUGAAAGCGGGGGACCGAGCAGCAAUGUUUGGCCUCGCGCCUUUGGAGCGGCCGAUGUCGGAUUAGCUAGUUGGUGGGGUAAAGGCCUACCGAGGCGACGAUCCGUAGCUGGUCUGAGAGGACGACCAGCCACACUGGGACUGAGACACGGCCCAGACUCCUACGGGAGGCAGCAGUGGGGAAUUUUGGACAAUGGGCGCAAGCCUGAUCCAGCAAUGCCGCGUGCGGGAAGAAGGCCUUCGGGUUGUAAACCGCUUUUGGCAGGAACGAAACGGUGUCCGCUAAUACCGGGCGCUAAUGACGGUACCUGCAGAAUAAGCACCGGCUAACUACGUG
RNAcentral lists this ribosomal RNA (492 nucleotides) under uncultured bacterium. RNAcentral's name for it is "partial 16S ribosomal RNA". It matches the Rfam family "Bacterial small subunit ribosomal RNA", at positions 29 to 507 of the family's 1533-position model. The record is from RNAcentral.